RNAcentral lists this ribosomal RNA (255 nucleotides) under uncultured bacterium. Its description in RNAcentral is "partial small subunit ribosomal RNA". It matches the Rfam family "Bacterial small subunit ribosomal RNA", at positions 26 to 285 of the family's 1533-position model. The record is from RNAcentral.
AGGACGAGCGCUGGCGGCGUGCUUAACACAUGCAAGUCGAACGAUGAAGCCUUUCGGGGUGGAUUAGUGGCGAACGGGUGAGUAACACGUGGGUAACCUGCCCUUGGCUUUGGGAUAAGCCCUAGAAAUGGGGUCUAAUACCGGAUAUGACUUACUCUCGCAUGGGAGUGGGUGGAAAGUUCCGGCGGCCAGGGAUGGGCCCGCGGCCUAUCAGCUUGUUGGUGGGGUAACAGCCUACCAAGGCGACGACGGGUA